RNAcentral lists this ribosomal RNA (255 nucleotides) under uncultured bacterium. RNAcentral describes it as "partial 16S ribosomal RNA". It matches the Rfam family "Bacterial small subunit ribosomal RNA", at positions 524 to 776 of the family's 1533-position model. The record is from RNAcentral.
UACGUAGGGUGCGAGCGUUGUCCGGAAUUAUUGGGCGUAAAGAGCUUGUAGGCGGUUUGUCGCGUCUGCUGUGAAAUUUCGGGGCUCAACCCCGAACUUGCAGUGGGUACGGGCAGACUAGAGUGUGGUAGGGGAGACUGGAAUUCCUGGUGUAGCGGUGAAAUGCGCAGAUAUCAGGAGGAACACCGGUGGCGAAGGCGGGUCUCUGGGCCGAUACUGACGCUGGAGGUGCGGAAAGCGUGGGGAGCAAACAGG